AAAAUGCAACGACAUAGAAUUUAUUGUGAAGUUUUGGUAAAACAGACAGGAAACGUCCUUUUUGAGUUUGUAUACUCCAGUAAACAAUCGAUUAUUUUAUUAAUCACGAUUAAUUGUUUCAGCCCAAAUUCUAUAUAUAUUUUGUACAGUUUUGGCUUAGUUAUUGCUGUACAUAUGUUGCUUUUUCAGCAAAUAAUUUAUUUUUGAGUCUGUGUACUCCAGUUAAUUAAUCAAAUGCUGAAUUAGCUGACAAUUACUUCAAAAACGAUUAAUCACAAUCGUUUCAACCCAAAUUUAAUACAAAACGUACAUAUAUUUUGCACAAUUCUUACUUGAUUAUUGCUCUGAAUGUUGUUUUUUUGACAAAUAGCUUAUUUCUGAGUCUCUAUACACAACUUAACGAUUAAUCAAUCACUAAAUUAGUUCACAAUUAUUUUUUUUAAAAAUUGAUUAAUCAUGAUUAACUGUUCCAGCGGUAAGUAGGGUAACGGUUUAAAUCAAGGAUAUUCAAAGGACUGAUUUUAUGUGACCCUCCAAAAAUAAAUUAGGACAAAACUUAAAUUCUUAAUUCUCUUACAAAAAUGUUAGACGUAACACAAGGUGAUCAUCUUUUCAAAGUUUUCUGGUUUACUUCUGUUUUUAUGGUAAAUAGAGCCACAUAUUCCCAUUGCCUUGUUCUCUAAAGUGCACAAAUUGCUGUUUUAAAACUUGGCUAGAUACAUAAAGUGUUUUCAAACAAUCCUGUUUUUAUUGCUGAGAAUAGACAAAAUAUUUCUUCAGUUUUCUUCAUACAAAAUCGAUAUAAUAAGCAAACUGGUUGCCUUUCAUUUAACAAGGAAAACAUGCAGAAACCAUUUGAAGUUUUGGAUCUAGAAUCCCGUUCCUACAAAAUAUCUGACUAAUUGUUAAAAUAGUUCAGUUUAGCUUAUUGUUGAGUGGAUUGGGAGGGGUGGAAACAACAUUUUAGUGAUUUUAGCUUCUGAAAAUCAUAUUUUUGACUGUCAAUAAAAGUGUGCACACCCUGGUUUAAAUAAUUCAUGUUUUCUCUGUUAUCCUCUGUUAUGUUAUCCUGUGAAUGAGGAUAAAACCUACAAGACCAUGAAUCGGGUGUGGAUGCCAUUUUUCUCCAAAACAAAAGUCUACUGGCUAAAAUAUGCAUCAGCAUUAGCAAAGAGAAAAAACUGAAGAAUAAAUAUGUUUUAAAUAAAAUACAAAAAUAUCAGUUUGGGUGUAUGACAUCACAAGAGAAACAAGGUGAAGUAUUUAAGCUUUAAUUUAGUUGCUUGUGGUAAUGUUUGCUUAAGAUCUUUGAUAAUGAAAUCUGGACCAACUUGUUUGUCAUGACCUCUUUUCCAAACAAAUGAGCUUUGUUAUUGUUGUGUUUUUCCCUCACAUGAGGAUAAAAUGUUUUUUUAAGCCAUUAAAUGAAGAUUGUCCUUAAAAUAUGUUAACAUAGAGGAGUAAACGAUCAUAAAAACAAGUGAAUUAGUGAAGUACAGAAAGAACAUAUGGGGAUCAUAAUGAAGCGGUUUCCAGCUUGAUCAGAUAAAACCCUAAAAUCUGGUCUUUUUCCUGCAACCCUCUUUGGUGAGGAGUGAGAUAAUAGGGAACAUAAUUUCCUACAUGGCUGCUUCUAUUAAGGCUUUGAGAGAGAGAGAGCAGGAAUUACAGAGGAAUAACAUGAAGGUGAAACGCAUAACAUCUAAAGGGAGCAAUUUAUCAACUUGUUGAUGUUACAAAUAUUUAACUGCAGAUGCAUCCUUUGCUACUAAUAACCAAACAUACACUAAAUGAAUGUUGUUAUUGCAUAACAGACAAUAAAAUGUUUAUUUUCUUAUUAAUACUGGUGACAAACUGUGUCUUCAGUACGGUUGAAAAAAUUAAUCAUGAUUAAUGGAUACAUUAUGUAAUGUUCCCAUCAUGUGCAAGUGGAAGUUUGUUUUUUGGGAAAGUUUAUUUUAUCCAGGCUACAUCAAAGCUUGAAACAAAAUAAGAAAAUGAAUAGAAAAUUUUUAUUUUAAAGGGUUGAAACGAUUAAUUGUGAUUAAUCGAUUCCUGGAAUAGUUGUCAACUGAUUAAGUAAUCAAUUAAUUGCUGACUGGCCUGGUUAUUUUCUUAUUUAAACAUUUUAAUGUUGGUUUUAAUGCAUUUCUAAUAAUGCAGUGGUUAAACAAAUUUUUUUAACGUGAUUAAUCCAUUAAUUAGUUGAAUAGUUGAUUUGCUUAGUAAAAUAAACGUUAGUUGCAGAUCUAAUUUGAAGUGAGUUUGACUUUGGUCUGGCUUGUGGUUUCUAUAAUCUCCAAACAUUUCCUACGAGAGGGCAAAGAAGAGGCAGAAAGGACACGCAGAAGAAGACAUGCAGAAAUCAGCAGCAGAAGAAAGACUCCUGAAGAAACACCGCUUGCUGCUAUGGCAACAUUACGUACUCCGGCGGCGAGUGCGCGCACGCCGGGCUCCGUGUCGAUUUGGACACACAGGCUGCAUUAGCCCGCAGCUGCUCAUGCUGCUGCAGCCUUCGGGGGGGCAACGUUUAAAGGACGUGAUGCUGUUUCUCCGUGAAACGUCACUGCAGCAACAGGAAGGUUAAGAAAAGCCACCUGCUAGCUAGUUUAAAAAAGCAGGGAUCUGUUACAGCCCAGCUAGCAGCACAACAACAGGUCACCUGAGCCCCGAAUCCUCUUCCCAGCUGGGAGGCCAUGUGACUCUGUGGGUCUCUGGGGCCUGGGCACCACACAUGAGACCACCAGAGACCGGGGAAACGGCAACCCGGGUUAGUCCCACAUGGUAAAGGAAAGGAAAAAGAAGAAGAGGAAGAGGAGCAGCUUCCUGCUUACAGGCCGGCUUUUUGAUACCAUGAGCUUCUUAGAGUGCAGCUAAGCUUAAAGGAGGCUGUGUCAUCUGAGACUGCCAUGAAUCCACACCACUCGCUCUGUCGCUAUGACAAGAGAGGCACCACGCCUCCGCUCUCCGUCUUUGUUAACACAACAAACAAAACACACACACAAACACACACGGCAUCAUGCACAUGGCCAUCAGUCUCACUUUAAUCCAUCCAGGUACUCAUCACUACCUGUGCUGCCACAAACCGAAAGGAGCAACAAGAGUUCAAAGAGAGAGAGAAAUGUUUUGGGAUGUUGUGUGUUAAAGGGCAGAGCAUCAUCAGACACUAAGCAGUAAUCACUUAACUUUAUUAAAUGACUUGAAACUGA
This is a long non-coding RNA of Xiphophorus hellerii (green swordtail), 3209 nucleotides long. RefSeq lists it as uncharacterized. The transcript is spliced from 3 exons. The record is from RefSeq and is a predicted model, not a curated record. NCBI's taxonomy places the organism in Eukaryota, Metazoa, Chordata, Actinopteri, Cyprinodontiformes, Poeciliidae.